AGAGUUUGAUCAUGGCUCAGAUUGAACGCUGGCGGUAACUUUUAAACAUGCAAGUCGAGCGGUAACAGACAUAAAGAUUCAGCUUGCUGAAUCCGGUGCUGACGAGCGGCGAACGGGUGAGUAACGCGUAGGAAUCUACCCAGUAGCGGGGGAUAGCCCGAGGAAACUCGGAUUAAUACCGCAUACGCCCUGAGGGGGAAAGGGGGCAAUUUAUUGCUCUCACUAUUGGAUGAGCCUGCGUAAGAUUAGCUUGUUGGUAGGGUAAUGGCCUACCAAGGCGACGAUCUUUAGCUGGUCUGAGAGGACGAUCAGCCACAUUGGGACUGAGACACGGCCCAGACAUCUACGGAUGGCAGCAGUUAAGAAUAUUGGACAAUGGGGGCAACCCUGAUCCAGGUAUACCGCGUGUGUGAAGAAGGCCCUAGGGUUGUAAAGCACUUUAAUCAGAGAAGAAGCAUUUUAAGUUAAUACCUUAAUUUGUUGACGUUAACUGAUGAAUAAGGACCGGCUAACUCCGUGCCAGCAGCCGCGGUAAUACGGAGGGUCCAAGCGUUAAUCGGAAUUACUGGGCGUAAAGCGCGCGUAGGCGGUUUAGCAAGUUGUAUGUGAAAGCCCUGGGCUCAACCUAGGAACUGCAUCCAAAACUACUAAGCUAGAGUGCGAGAGAGGAGAGUAGAAUUUCUGGUGUAGCGGUGAAAUGCGUAGAUAUCAGAAGGAAUACCAAUGGCGAAGGCAGCUCUCUGGCUCGUCACUGACGCUGAGGUGCGAAAGCGUGGGUAGCAAACAGGAUUAGAUACCCUGGUAGUCCACGCC
RNAcentral lists this ribosomal RNA (813 nucleotides) under marine metagenome. RNAcentral's name for it is "bacterial SSU rRNA". It matches the Rfam family "Bacterial small subunit ribosomal RNA", at positions 8 to 801 of the family's 1533-position model. The record is from RNAcentral.